CACUCUGUAUAAAACAAGUGAGGGUCCACGGUAAACUAUCAAUAACUUUUUCGAAAAGCCAAGAUGAACACGACAAAAGCAGUCUGCCUCGUCGCCUUACUCGUCCUCCUGAUGAUCGCAAGCUCUCAGGGAAGCUUGUUGCUCAAAUCACUCCUGCUGAAAAGAGGUAUUCUGCCCUACCCAGCAGUGCUGCCUGUUCCUGUGAACCCUCUACUUCUCAAACCACACCCUCUCUUAUUGUUGUAAUUUUUUUUAUAAACGUUUAUACAUCAUUCAUUUUAUACGUCCAUUUUAUAUAGUCAAUUUUUUUACUGUUUUUCUCGUUUAAUUAUAUUAUUGUGAAUUAAUA
Cimex lectularius (bed bug) is the source of this 349-nucleotide long non-coding RNA. RefSeq lists it as uncharacterized. The transcript has 2 exons. The record is from RefSeq and is a predicted model, not a curated record. Lineage: Eukaryota; Metazoa; Arthropoda; Insecta; Hemiptera; Cimicidae.